RNAcentral lists this microRNA (22 nucleotides) under Dinoponera quadriceps. RNAcentral's name for it is "dqu-miR-3477-3p". The record is from miRBase by way of RNAcentral. Lineage: Eukaryota; Metazoa; Arthropoda; Insecta; Hymenoptera; Formicidae.
CAUAUUACCUCGUGGGGUUUCC